UAACUUAGGGAGAAGGGGUGCCUACGAGAGUAGGCCGCAGUGAAUAGGCUCAAGCAACUGUUUAUCAAAAACACAGGUCUCUGCUAAAGCGUAAGCUGAUGUAUAGGGGCUGACGCCUGCCCGGUGCUGGAAGGUUAAGGGGAAUAGUUAGCGCAAGCGAAGCUAUGAACUUAAGCCCCAGUAAACGGCGGCCGUAACUAUAACGGUCCUAAGGUAGCGAAAUUCCUUGUCGGGUAAGUUCCGACCCGCACGAAUGGCGUAAUGAUUUGAGCACUGUCUCGGCAAUAAAUCCGGUGAAAUUGUAGUGCAAGUGAAGAUGCUUGCUACCCGCGGUUGGACGGAAAGACCCCGUAGAGCUUUACUGUAGCUUAGCAUUGAAUUUCGGUAUUGUCUGUACAGGAUAGGUGGGAGACUUAGAAGCGAGGGCGUCAGCUUUCGUGGAGUCGUCCUUGGGAUACCACCCUGACAGUACUGGAAUUCUAACUGGAGGCCAUGAAUCUGGUCACAGGACAUUGCUAGGUGGGCAGUUUGACUGGGGCGGGCGCCUCCUAAAAGGUAACGGAGGCGCCCAAAGGUUCCCUCAGCGCGGGCGGAAAUCGCGCGUAGAGUGCAAAGGCAGAAGGGAGCCUGACUGCGACACAUACAGGUGGAGCAGGGACGAAAGUCG
RNAcentral lists this ribosomal RNA (667 nucleotides) under Clostridium botulinum C/D. RNAcentral's name for it is "partial 23S ribosomal RNA". It matches the Rfam family "Bacterial large subunit ribosomal RNA", at positions 1731 to 2408 of the family's 2925-position model. Lineage: Bacteria; Bacillati; Bacillota; Clostridia; Eubacteriales; Clostridiaceae. The record is from RNAcentral.